This 901-nucleotide long non-coding RNA is filed under the name Capsicum annuum. RNAcentral describes it as "long non-coding RNA (CANN_LNC006773)". Lineage: Eukaryota; Viridiplantae; Streptophyta; Magnoliopsida; Solanales; Solanaceae. The record is from RNAcentral.
AGCAAUUCUACUAUUUUUGGUUUCUUCUAUUUUUCGUAUUUCUUCCGUAGUUUGUUGUUUUAUUUUUUCUAUUUCUUUUUUCCUAUCUAUCUCUUCAUUUUCUUUUUCUAUUCUUACCAUUGCUGUUAAUUUAUCUUCUAAUUUUAAUUCUUCUUUUUCUAACAUUAGAUAUAAAUGUUCACCUAUUUUCUUAUAUCUUCGUCCUAGAUUAGAAAAUACUAUUUUUAUUUUUGAUCCUUCGUAGUUUUCAUAUAUUUUUUCAUCUAUUAUAAAUUCUUCUUUAUUCAUUUUAUUGUGAAUAGUUCAUGUUGAUAUAUAUAUUCUAAGCUAUCUAUUUGUGAUUCUAAUUUUGAUAUUUCAUCUUUUUGUGUAUUUAUUGAAUUUUUACUUACUCCGGCAAAUAUAUUAUAAUUUAGUCUUUCUAUUCUUAUUUUUAAUUCUUUACGUUUUUCAGAAAUAAUUUGUUUUAAUUCUUUAUAUUGUUGUACCUUAUUCAUUUUAAAUUAUAUUUAUAAUAUUUUGGUGGAUAUCUAAAUCUAAUUUUAUUAUAAUUAGGCGGUAUAUGUUUCAUUCUUCUAGAUUUUAAAUGUGUUAUUAACUUUGAUUCAAUACUAGAUAUUAAUGUAAUUAAAUAGGCUAGUUUUUGUGGAUUUUCUUUUGUUUUAUUUAGACUUAUAUAUUCUGAAUAAUUACUAAGUAAUGAUUUUUUAAUUUUUCUAAAAGCUUCUCUGUUUUUAAAUGGUCUUCGCAUAAUUAAUUUAAUUUUUUCGUAGGUAAUUUUUUAACUUUAAAUCUAAUUCUAAUUCUAACUCUAAUAUAUAUCUCUUCCGUACUUUUUAAAUUACUGUGCUCUGAUACCAUUUGUAGGGGGGUGCGCGGAUUUGUAGGUAUAAUAGAUUUG